UAAAGGUCGAAAGGGGAGAUUCAGUAUCCGUUCCUCGCGGCCGCGCCCCGUCGCGGGUACACCUCGGGUGGCACCUCGGUGCCGCCCGGGCCCGCGUCGGGGUCCUCGCGCGCCGGAGGCGGAGCGCACUUCUCCCCGAGUAGGACGCCGCGACCCGCUGGGUGUCUGCCUGAGGCCCGGGUGCGAGUCCGGACCGCGGUUCGCCGCGGCCCGGAGCCCCGGCUUCGCCCGGCAGACCGCCCGGCGGUCUCGAAGUAUCGGAACAGGCCCGCGCUACCCCAGGCGCGCUCGUGCCGCUUGCGAGCGUCCGACGGGUCCCCCGGUAGGCGAACCCCGUUCGCCCCGGGUCCGUCGGCGCUGUCGGCUCGCGGACUUCUCGAGCAGUCGGCCUCCUCCGGUCUGCGGCGCUCGCAGUUGGGCGGCCCACCCGACCCGUCUUGAAACACGGACCAAGGAGUCUAACAUGUGCGCGAGUCAUUGGGUGCCAGCGAAACCCAAGGGCGCAUUGAAAGAGAAGGCGGGCCUUCGUGCCCGCCGAGGGAGGAUGGGGCGUCGCUCGCGUCGCCUCCGCACUCCCGGGGCGUCUCGUCCUAGCGCCGCUCGUCGGCGUAAGGUGAGGUGCACCAAGAGCGCACACGUUGGGACCCGAAAGAUGGUGAACUAUGCCUGGCCAGGACGAAGUCAGGGGAAACCCUGAUGGAGGUCCGUAGCGAUUCUGACGUGC
RNAcentral lists this ribosomal RNA (724 nucleotides) under Thraulus sp. 3 BCOD-2008. RNAcentral describes it as "eukaryotic LSU rRNA". The stretch from base 449 to 724 matches the Rfam family "Eukaryotic large subunit ribosomal RNA", at positions 665 to 894 of the family's 3401-position model. The record is from RNAcentral. Lineage: Eukaryota; Metazoa; Arthropoda; Insecta; Ephemeroptera; Leptophlebiidae.